GCCCUGGUGGUGCAAUGGUUAAGCACUUGGUUGCUAACCGAAAGGUUGGCAGUUCCAACCUACCCAGGGGCU
This 72-nucleotide transfer RNA is filed under the name Loxodonta africana (African savanna elephant). It matches the Rfam family "tRNA". Rfam says of the family: Transfer RNA (tRNA) molecules are approximately 80 nucleotides in length. Their secondary structure includes four short double-helical elements and three loops (D, anti-codon, and T loops). Further hydrogen bonds mediate the characteristic L-shaped molecular structure. tRNAs have two regions of fundamental functional importance: the anti-codon, which is responsible for specific mRNA codon recognition, and the 3' end, to which the tRNAs corresponding amino acid is attached (by aminoacyl-tRNA synthetases). tRNAs cope with the degeneracy of the genetic code in two manners: having more than one tRNA (with a specific anti-codon) for a particular amino acid; and 'wobble' base-pairing, i.e. permitting non-standard base-pairing at the 3rd anti-codon position. The record is from Rfam by way of RNAcentral. Lineage: Eukaryota; Metazoa; Chordata; Mammalia; Proboscidea; Elephantidae.